Danaus plexippus (monarch butterfly) is the source of this 749-nucleotide long non-coding RNA. RefSeq lists it as uncharacterized. The transcript has 2 exons. NCBI's taxonomy places the organism in Eukaryota, Metazoa, Arthropoda, Insecta, Lepidoptera, Nymphalidae. The record is from RefSeq and is a predicted model, not a curated record.
GAUUACCACGGCUGUCAGCUGCCAAAGUAUUUUCCUGUCAAGCUGUAGCUUAUCUCGGAUGCUGUGUGAUGACAGUACGGUCCACAUAGAUCAUCUCAGCUAACGAAUUUUAACGAGGCAAACGAGCAGACGGCCUACCUAAUGGAAGUAGUACCGUCACCCAUGGACAUCCGCACCAUAGUUUUGCGGAUGCGUUGCCACCUCUAUUUGGGGAAGAGGGAGAGGAAAGGGUGGGAAAAGGGAAAGGGCAACCGACUCUCUCACUCAUCAGACGAAACGCAGCCGUAGAAGACUACUUCACGCUGAUCUUCUGUGAGAGGGUGGUACUUCCCCGGUUGAGCCAGCCCAUGUUCGAGUAGCAGUAAUUUCACCACAGCUAAGCUCUACCACCUUAAAAAUUGUGUUUAUGUAUUUAUAAUGGAGGGACUACUUGCAUGGAAUGCAUGCGUGGACUUGUAUCUCGAAUACUUGUCAUCUUAGAAACAUAUUGCCAAAUUGCAUAUUAAUAACAUUCCCCUCUAAUGCACAGCAAAGUCCCGGUUGAAUUUGAAAGUAUUUCCUUCAUUAUUAUUUUAAUAUGGACACCAAAUGAAAAUUACGUUUACCAUAUUAAUAUAAAGUUUAUACUUCACAGUAUAAGUAAAAUUAUUAGGUAAAUUUAAAUUAAAAUUUUACUUUCAAAUAUAAAAUUUUUCAUUGAAAUUAUACGUUAUAACAAUAUACAAAUAUAUUAUGUUAUAACCAAAGAA